GGAUCGCCAGCACAUGGCACCGGACGAGGCACACCCGUACCCGGCCAGCGACAAGACGGGAUGUU
This 65-nucleotide non-coding RNA is filed under the name Mycobacterium farcinogenes. Lineage: Bacteria; Bacillati; Actinomycetota; Actinomycetes; Mycobacteriales; Mycobacteriaceae. The record is from RNAcentral.